AACCAUUCUCACCUGCGGCUAGACCUGCGGAAGGAUCAUUACAGAGUUGCAAGACUCCCACACCCUCGCGAACGUACCCGUCCCGUUGCUUCGGCGGGCUGCCCUGGGGGCCGCCCCGCGGUCCCCAAGCGCCCGCCGAAGGCCCUAAACCCUUUUGUCCUGUGGUGGCCUCUCUGAGUUACGCAUAUCGAAUCAGUUAAAACUUUUAACAAUGGAUCU
Molecule: unclassified non-coding RNA, 219 nt
Filed under: soil metagenome
Description: partial contains 5.8S ribosomal RNA, internal transcribed spacer 2, and large subunit ribosomal RNA
Source: RNAcentral